This 367-nucleotide long non-coding RNA is filed under the name Capsella grandiflora. RNAcentral's name for it is "long non-coding RNA (CGRA_LNC001274)". Lineage: Eukaryota; Viridiplantae; Streptophyta; Magnoliopsida; Brassicales; Brassicaceae. The record is from RNAcentral.
AAAUGAUGCAACAAAUAGACGAAGUUCAAAUAGACAAAGUUCAACCAAAGAAUCUAACAUUUUCUGAAACAAAUGAUGCAACAAAUAAACAAGGUUCAACCAAGAAUCUAAUAUUCUCUGAAACAACUGAUGCAACAAAUAAACAAGGUUCAACCAAGAAUCUAAUAUUCUCUGAAACAACUGAUGCAAACAAAUAGAAAAGGUUUAACCAAGAAUCUAACAUUGUCUGAAACAAGUGAUGCAAACAAAUAGACAAGGUUGAACUAAGACUCUUAACAUUCUCUGAAACAAGUGAUGCAAACAAACAGACAGUUUCAAAGAAGACAAAAUUGACACUCAUCCUUCAAAUUAUUGUGGUAAAGGUGAG